CAAUUUUUAAAAAAAUAUCCAAAUUCGGAGACCGUUAUCAAUCUGUGUCUAAUACGCUUUCGCGCAUGCUCAGUCGACGUACUGCCGGCGAAAUCCAAGUGAAAGUUAGAAGAAAGGAUAGAAAAUAGGACAGUUAGGCCUAUAAGGAUCCUGUAUUGUAUUAGUUACUGUCAGAGUAAAUGUACCAGACUUUCAGACUUCAGUUCGCUAAGCAAUCUACAACAAGUGUUUUUCCAUAUUCUUUCAAAAAUAUCAUAUUCACAAACAUUGAAUUUUUGGACAGAUGGUGUCGUAUACACAACUUAUAGCCAUGGUUAUAGACAUUAUUGGUUGUGGUCAACUACAAAAGCAAGAAUAAGUUCUGAGUUGACUGAUUAUGUCAAUCUCAGUAGGUCUACUGAAUGCAUAAUGCUUAAUAGGAAUUCCCUCGCAAACACUGACUUUUUGUCGGAGGCAAAUUGCCAAACAAAGUUAACUCCAGUAUGUAAAUUGUAAUAAAUUUAAGAAACACUUACUUUUCGAAAUUACUUUAAUAGUCUUAGAUAGGGGGCAAAGGUACCAAAUAGUCAAUCAAAAUUCACAAGAAGAGGAACUGUCAAUACCAUAGAAAAAAAAAACAAAAAACGACAAAAGAUAAACAACAUGCUUCUGUUACAACAUAAAACAUAGAAAACUAAAU
Long non-coding RNA from Mytilus californianus (California mussel), 679 nucleotides. RefSeq lists it as uncharacterized. The transcript has 3 exons. The record is from RefSeq and is a predicted model, not a curated record. NCBI's taxonomy places the organism in Eukaryota, Metazoa, Mollusca, Bivalvia, Mytilida, Mytilidae.